Panicum virgatum (switchgrass) is the source of this 1048-nucleotide long non-coding RNA. RefSeq lists it as uncharacterized. The transcript is spliced from 3 exons. The record is from RefSeq and is a predicted model, not a curated record. NCBI's taxonomy places the organism in Eukaryota, Viridiplantae, Streptophyta, Magnoliopsida, Poales, Poaceae.
CUUCACUCACUUUCUUCUCUCGGUCCGAGCCGCCGCCCUUCACGCGCUGGAGCACCGCGGCUCGAGGCCCGACCGCGUCCGCCGCUGCAACGAGCUUGCGUCGCGCUCCAUCCUCAUGGUCUGCGCCAACCCGACUGCUCUACGCGCCGACUCGGGGCCACGGCCACUGGCCAUGUGAGGCGCUGGCGCAUGGUCCCUGGGCGCCGCCGCAGCCGCAUACCCCGUGGGCGCCGGCCGCUCGCGCGUGGGCAACGGCCGCUAGACACAAGCACGCGUGCCAGGCAUCUGCGUCCUAUGGGGCGGUCCCUCUGUACAACGGCGGCCCUGGCCGCCGGCCGCUUCGUCGAGUGCUGUGCGCAGGUGAGAUCUGCCUCCCUUCCGUAAGAUUCAGAAAUGGGACAUAUGGAGCCGUCGAACUCUUGAUUCGUCAUAUGGGUAAAGCUCUCUCUCUCUCCAUAUCUCUCUCCGAUUUGUUUACUGAUGUCCUCCAAAUCGAUUUGGUUUCAGACCUAGGGAGCGCCGAUGCGUGUGGCUAGCUUUUCUAGCGCCAAGGUAAGGGCAUGUGAAAGCUACUCGUUGGCCAAAGGAUUAUGAGGGAAUGGACUAAUGUACAAAUGGUUUUGGAGGAGGGAAGUGCUGUUCUGGGUUUGCGGUUACCGACAAAGGGAAGCAACGCCUUCUAUAGGCUUUAGGUUAGGUGAUUUAAAGGGUGAAGUGGCAAUUAGAAGAGAAGAGAAGCCUCGCAGAGAAGAAAUAAUCAUGGCUAGCCAAAUAUGCUGCCACAACACUCUCAUCAAAACUGAUAGGUGGUGAAAAAGAAUUAUUUGCUUCCUUAGUUGCUGCUGCUGGUUCAUACUCUUGAUGAAACCUAUCUUUUGUUGUUUCUGGUCCAUUUUGUUGUCUUUGAUCCUGCAAUGUUAUAUUGCUAGUUCUGAUACAUGGAAAAAAUUGUAUGUGAUCCAUUAUUCUGGUGUAGUGAUGCUGGGAUGCUAUUGAUAUGAGGUUAUAAUUUGGGCUGUAAUUGAUUAUUGUGACUUCUGGGCUGGAA